Molecule: ribosomal RNA, 499 nt
Filed under: uncultured bacterium
Lineage: Bacteria
Description: bacterial SSU rRNA
Rfam family: Bacterial small subunit ribosomal RNA
Source: RNAcentral
GACGAACGCUGGCGGCGUGGAUUAGGCAUGCAAGUCGAACGGUAGGAUACCUUCGGGUAUCUGAGAGUGGCGAACGGGUGAGUAACACGUAGGUGAUCUACCCUCAAGAUUGGGACAACCCAGGGAAACUUGGGCUAAUACCGGAUGAAAGCAGCAGCGAUGUUGUUUGAAAGGUGGCGUAAGCUGCCGUUUGGGGAUGAGCCUGCGCUCUAUUAGUUAGUUGGCGGGGUAAAGGCCCACCAAGGCGAUGAUAGAUAGGCGGCCUUAACGGGUGGUCGCCCACACUGGGAUUGAGAUACGGCCCAGACUCCUACGGGAGGCAGCAGUCGAGAAUAGUCUACAAUGGCCGAAAGGCUGAUAGUGCGACGCCGCGUGAACGAAGAAGCCCUUCGGGGUGUAAAGUUCUUUUAUAUGUGAGCAGUGCUUCUUAUAUUAACAGUAUGGGGAAGAGAUAUUAGCAUAUGAAUAAGCAACGGCUAACUCCGUGCCAGCAGCCGAC